RNAcentral lists this non-coding RNA (26 nucleotides) under Homo sapiens (human). Lineage: Eukaryota; Metazoa; Chordata; Mammalia; Primates; Hominidae. The record is from RNAcentral.
UGUCUUUGGGUGAGGAUAAGCCAGUA